Notolabrus celidotus (New Zealand spotty) is the source of this 2091-nucleotide RNA transcript. It is a transcript of the gene named ATG10 autophagy related 10 homolog (S. cerevisiae), with no coding region annotated. The record is from RefSeq and is a predicted model, not a curated record. The transcript has 8 exons. Lineage: Eukaryota; Metazoa; Chordata; Actinopteri; Labriformes; Labridae.
GCAACGUUGAACUAUGACGCGUGUAGUCACGUGAUCUCACAACCCGGAAGUGAAGCAGUGGCUCCGGUUUCUCCAACUGCAGGAAGCGAGCAGUUUCCCUGAAGCCAUGAGUCUGUGUGCGCUGGACGAGCAGAGCUUCCGUCUGUGUUGUCGGCUCCUCCUGCAGCAGUCGGAGGAGCUGAACGACGGCUGGAGCUGGGAGAGCGUGCAGGGUUCAGAGGAGGGCUACUUGAAGAAGACUGCUCUCAGGUCAGUCAUCAUGGACUCGAGCAGAGUGUGGGACCUGGACGGAUUAAAUUCAGACUCAGAAACACACAGCUCCUGUCAGGAGCAGGAACAGUCAGCCCCUGCUUCCAUUGAUGAUGCUGAAGAUGUUAAAGGGGAUAUGGAAGAUGAUGAAGACGAUGAUGGUGUCUGUGCAGAGUCUGCAGGAAGUAUCCAGGCGCUUCAAUACGAGUAUCACGUCCUGUUCUCCUGCAGCUACGGAGCUCCUGUGCUUUAUUUCAGAGCCUGCACUCUAGAGGGGAGGAGCCUAUCCAUGGAGGAGGUGUGGAGCUCUGUCCAUCCCAACUUUAGACUUGGACUUCAGCGCAGUCCUCUGAACACGAUCACUCUGCAGGAGCACCCCCUGCUGGGUCAGCCUUUCUUCAUGCUCCACCCCUGCAGAACAGAGGACUUUAUGAGGCCUGUGCUGCAGGCGGCCCAGCACCAACACAGGCCAGUGAACUACGUGCUGACGUGGCUCAGUGUGGUGGGACCUCUGGUGGGCAUUGAGGUCCCUCUGAAGUACUGCACCCUGCUCCAUCCUGCCGCCUCACCAGACUGAAGCUACACCUGCUCUGUUUCCCUCUCUGUCAGCGUUCAGCCUCUGGAGCUAAAUGUUGUUAGCUACAUGCUGAAAGUUCAAGCUUAACAUAGAUGGCUUCCUUGAACCCUCUUUCAUACCAAUGCUUGUCUCCGUCCAGGAUCUGAACCUUGCUGUCCUCAAAGGAGUGUCCCUUUUCCUUGAGGUGCAGAUGUACGGCUGAGUCCUGGCCUUAGGAGCUGGCUCUUCUGUGUUGGGCCAGGCUGUGGAGCGGUUGUUUAGUUUCACCAAUGUACCGUUCCCUGCAGUCUUCAUUACACUGUAUGGCAUAAACUACAUUACUCCUUUUGUGCUGAGGUGUUUUGCCCCCAGUCUGGUCAGAACUGAAGAAGCCUUUCGGAGGAGAGGUGGAACGUCUUCAAGAAUUUCGACCAGUCCAGUUGCCUUACGGAUCAAGCUUUGGAUUCCCAUGACCUGGAUGACUGAGAACCUUCACAGACAUGUUUGACAUGGAGAGCUUUCAAUUCUUAUUCCCACAUAGAGUAAAGAGCAAAAAGCUUCAUGAGACUCAACAUUAUGGUAAUUGUGAAAAGGGAACAGUGAGAGUAAAAUCUAUGAAUGGGGCCCAGAUAGUCAGGAAUUUCUGGUUCUGUUGUACCUGAAUUUAACUUGAGGGGGGGGGCAGAGAUAUUUGUGUUGUCGUUUGGAACUCCAAAAGCAGCCAGGAUUGGAUCAGGUUCAAUGGUCCUUUGGCAAAUAUCUGAAAAAAGCUUUAAAAAUGUCAUUCCAGAACGAACGCAAAGACGUGCAAUCCCAGAACAUGUUCCCAGUUGUAGCUAGGUCGAGCUGGCAUCUAGUGCAAAUGGGAUCUGUAUGGGGAUAGAGUUUAUUAGAACGGUCCUAUUAGUGUGAAUGUUACUAUUUCCACCGCCGUGCAAUGAAGAACCUGCUUACACAUACUGCAUACAUAUACUGUAGAUUAUGGCUGAUAUAAUACAAUUAUAUCAAAGAGGGGAAUUGAAGGAUACACACACACACACACACAUUGUUUGAUUCAUACAGGAACAAACGCAUGGGCUGAAGGUUGUUAUAGCUCACGAUAGAGAUGAACUGGUCCUGAACCUGUCUGGACUGGAGUCAGAGACUGCCAACCUUAAAGUCCAACCCCUUGUACGGGGUGCAGCCCAGGAAGAUAAAUGUUCAUCUUUUCUGUAUAUCAGGGCUCACUCCCUCUGAGCCCUCAGCUGAGCACAUGCUUUACCUGAGACCAGAAUAAACUCUGUGAA